RNAcentral lists this non-coding RNA (202 nucleotides) under Niabella ginsenosidivorans. The record is from RNAcentral. RNAcentral also lists the same sequence under 1 other name. Lineage: Bacteria; Pseudomonadati; Bacteroidota; Chitinophagia; Chitinophagales; Chitinophagaceae.
UUAAUUUGUAACGGUAAUGGUAUGGCAACCAGGGUUCAAUUGUUGCCUUUAAAAGGGAAUCCCGUGUAAAUCCGGAACUAUCCCCGUAGCUGUGAGGCCCUUUAGCCAGAAGUUUUAUAAAAUAGCCACUGUUCGAUCUGUGAAUGGGAAGGUUUAUAAAAACGGGCCAAGUCAGAAGACCUGCCAGUACCAUUUUUUGAAA